This 253-nucleotide ribosomal RNA is filed under the name uncultured bacterium. RNAcentral describes it as "partial 16S ribosomal RNA". It matches the Rfam family "Bacterial small subunit ribosomal RNA", at positions 524 to 776 of the family's 1533-position model. The record is from RNAcentral.
UACAGAGGUCUCAAGCGUUGUUCGGAUUCAUUGGGCGUAAAGGGUGCGUAGGUGGCGCCGUAAGUCGGGUGUGAAAUUUCGGAGCUUAACUCCGAAACUGCAUUCGAUACUGCGGUGCUUGAGGACUGGAGAGGAGACUGGAAUUCAUGGUGUAGCAGUGAAAUGCGUAGAGAUCAUGAGGAAGACCAGUGGCGAAGGCGGGUCACUGGCCCGGUACUGACGCUGAGGUGCGAAAGCGUGGGGAGCAAACAGG